GAAGCUAAAAGUUACCACUGAGUUUUCACUACGGGGUGGUAGCCAAGCGGUAAAUGCGUGCAUUUACCACGCGUUAAUAAAGGCUUAUCUCAGUAUGAAGGCUGAGUGGUGACUUUUAUAUUUAGUGGCAGACGGGUGAGUAAGGCGUAGGCAACCUGCCGUUCGGAUGGGGACGACAGUUCGAAAGGACUGCUAAUACCGAAUGAUGUAUAUCUUCCGCAUGGAGGACAUACCAAAGACGGCCUCUAUUUGUAAGCUGUCACGGAAAGAUGGGGCUGCGUCUGAUUAGCGAGUUGGCGGGGUAAUGGCCCACCAAAGCGACGGUCAGUAGCCGGUCUGAGAGGAUGAACGGCCGCGUUGGGACUGAGACACGGCCCAAACUCCUACGGGAGG
Molecule: ribosomal RNA, 393 nt
Filed under: uncultured Mitsuokella sp.
Lineage: Bacteria; Bacillati; Bacillota; Negativicutes; Selenomonadales; Selenomonadaceae
Description: bacterial SSU rRNA
Rfam family: Bacterial small subunit ribosomal RNA (bases 48-393)
Source: RNAcentral